Molecule: ribosomal RNA, 524 nt
Filed under: uncultured bacterium
Lineage: Bacteria
Description: bacterial SSU rRNA
Rfam family: Bacterial small subunit ribosomal RNA
Source: RNAcentral
UGGGGAAUAUUGGACAAUGGACCGAGAGUCUGAUCCAGCAAUUCUGUGUGCACGAUGAAGUUUUUCGGAAUGUAAAGUGCUUUCAGUUGGGAAGAAAAAAAUGACGGUACCAACAGAAGAAGUGACGGCUAAGUACGUGCCAACAGCCGCGGUAAUACGUAUGUCACGAGCGUUAUCCGGAUUUAUUGGGCGUAAAGCGCGUCUAGGUGGUUAUGUAAGUCUGAUGUGAAAAUGCAGGGCUCAACUCUGUAUUGCGUUGGAAACUGUAUAACUAGAGUACUGGAGAGGUAAGCGGAACUACAAGUGUAGAGGUGAAAUUCGUAGAUAUUUGUAGGAAUGCCGAUGGGGAAGCCAGCUUACUGGACAGAUACUGACGCUAAAGCGCGAAAGCGUGGGUAGCAAACAGGAUUAGAUACCCUGGUAGUCCACGCUGUAAACGAUGAUUACUAGGUGUUGGGGGUCGAACCUCAGCGCCCAAGCAAACGCGAUAAGUAAUCCGCCUGGGGAGUACGUACGCAAGUAUG